This 761-nucleotide long non-coding RNA is filed under the name Gossypium barbadense (sea-island cotton). RNAcentral describes it as "long non-coding RNA (GBAR_LNC015880)". The record is from RNAcentral. Lineage: Eukaryota; Viridiplantae; Streptophyta; Magnoliopsida; Malvales; Malvaceae.
AGGUCUCCUAUGCUGGUUUUUUAUAUUUUUACACCAUGUAAGUUCAAUUUUUACUAUUUCUUAGUAAUUUUUAUGUUUUGGUGAUUUUUACAAUUAGGUCCAAUCAUCUAAUUCAUUAGUUUUUGAUUUGAUGGGUGAAAUUGGAAGUUACCUGGCUGAGUAAGGGUAGUAUAUGAUGAAUUAUUAUGAAAUUGAAGUUCUAAUUUCAUAUUAAGGUUGUUUUAUUAAGUCAUUUUGAUAGAAAAUGGUAUUUAGGACCUGAUUGUGAAAAAGUUGUGAAUUAGAUGUUGGUGUUGAAAUUGAGAAUAUCAAAGGUUUUGAAAUAAUUUAUAAUGAUAAAAUAAAGUGUUAAUUGAGAAAAAAUUAGUUCAAUUGAUGGGUGAAUUGAGUAGGAACUAAAUUGUAAAAACUAUAAAUUUUAGAGUAAAAGUGUAAUUUCGAAAUUUGAACAGCAUAAAUUGUGAAGUGAAGUAGAAAUCAAAUAAAUGCUAAUGAGUAGAAAUAAUUUAUAUUAUAGAUCAAGAGAAACGAGAUUCAAGUCAUGAUCGAGGGAAAAAUAAAGUUUACGAGGAAUAGGCUCGAUUGCUAAUAUUUUAUAUCGAGGUAAGUUCAUAUGAUUUUUAAUAAUGCAAUGUGUAAUUUAAUGUUUUGAAAUGAAAAUUUCAUGAAUGAUAUAGUAUAUUAUUGUAUAUAAAAUGUCAUUAAACUGUGAUAAUUGUAAAAUGAUAUUUGAAUAAAAGUACAAAUUAAAUGGAACAACG